UCCUCGAUGGCUCAACGGUAGAGCAUUCGGCUGUUAACCGAAGGGUUGCUGGUUCGAAUCCAGCUCGGGGAG
This 72-nucleotide transfer RNA is filed under the name Petrocella atlantisensis. It matches the Rfam family "tRNA". From Rfam's summary of the family: Transfer RNA (tRNA) molecules are approximately 80 nucleotides in length. Their secondary structure includes four short double-helical elements and three loops (D, anti-codon, and T loops). Further hydrogen bonds mediate the characteristic L-shaped molecular structure. tRNAs have two regions of fundamental functional importance: the anti-codon, which is responsible for specific mRNA codon recognition, and the 3' end, to which the tRNAs corresponding amino acid is attached (by aminoacyl-tRNA synthetases). tRNAs cope with the degeneracy of the genetic code in two manners: having more than one tRNA (with a specific anti-codon) for a particular amino acid; and 'wobble' base-pairing, i.e. permitting non-standard base-pairing at the 3rd anti-codon position. The record is from Rfam by way of RNAcentral. RNAcentral also lists the same sequence under 1 other name. Lineage: Bacteria; Bacillati; Bacillota; Clostridia; Lachnospirales; Vallitaleaceae.